Molecule: long non-coding RNA, 519 nt
Filed under: Numida meleagris (helmeted guineafowl)
Lineage: Eukaryota; Metazoa; Chordata; Aves; Galliformes; Numididae
Description: lncRNA (ENSNMEG00000012813.1)
Source: RNAcentral
CAGCAAUAAGGGGUAUUAGUGAAAGCAGCUGUUAAAAUCAGAGGAGAGCUCAGGUGAGGUGUUUGUGUGAGGUUUGGUGCAUUUGCUUAAGCAGACGCAUGCCCUUAACAGAACUGUGGGGGAAGAAAAGUUCUGUAGGAGCAAAGGGAAUAAGAUGUUAUAAGCUCAUUUACUUUUAGAAGUUAUCCCUUGACUUAGGUGGAGAGUGACUGACACUUGUCCUUGUGGGAGGACUCUGAUGCAUAAGAAGAAUUACCAGAAAUGCCUGGUGGUCACAGUUCUGCUGUCUCCCAAAGGGUAUCUGUGAUGUCCUUGGCAGAGGCUGCUUGGUGUUGGGUAAAUACCUGGCCUUCUGCUGCUGUGCUCAGCACUGUGAGCCCAUUUAGCUGCUUCUCUUGGAUGUACCAGUUGGUGUAAUAAAAGUUACCUCAUUUUCCUACCAACUGUGACUAGCUUUAGUAUUCUAAGGAAGUCUAAAGGGGAAAAUAAAACAUCAGUUCCUUAUGCCUUUAAUUAACA